GUUCAGAAAUAUGCAACAAAUAUUACAACAAGGUGUCUAGAAAUUCGCUUACUGUGGUGUAUGUUAUUUGUGGAUAUAGCUGUGUCCCUUCCAAACCACCAGAAGACUCUAUGCUGAAGUAUGUCUGAUCUCCUUUAACAAAUGUAGAGUAUAUGAAAACCAACUCCAUAUUCUCAGGAUAUGGGGUAUCUCGGAUUUUCUUCAAGAGCUCAUCUUCAGUGAUGUAAAUCUUUUUUAGCGUCUUCUCAAUUUUUCCUUCCCAAAUCCCUACUAGCUCAUUCAUUGAAUACACAUUUCCCUUUGGCCUCAUGUAUACCACUUUGUUCAGAGUCCGUGCAUCGUCCACUGUAUUUAUGACAAAGGCAGCAACAUCAUUUUCGUUCAUAAAGACAGC
This 394-nucleotide unclassified non-coding RNA is filed under the name Hevea brasiliensis (rubber tree). Lineage: Eukaryota; Viridiplantae; Streptophyta; Magnoliopsida; Malpighiales; Euphorbiaceae. The record is from RNAcentral.